AACGCUGGCGGCAGGCUUAACACAUGCAAGUCGAGCGGGCGUAGCAAUACGUCAGCGGCAGACGGGUGAGUAACGCGUGGGAACGUACCUUUUGGUUCGGAACAACACAGGGAAACUUGUGCUAAUACCGGAUAAGCCCUUACGGGGAAAGAUUUAUCGCCGAAAGAUCGGCCCGCGUCUGAUUAGCUAGUUGGUGAGGUAAUGGCUCACCAAGGCGACGAUCAGUAGCUGGUCUGAGAGGAUGAUCAGCCACAUUGGGACUGAGACACGGCCCAAACUCCUACGGGAGGCAGCAGUGGGGAAUAUUGGACAAUGGGCGCAAGCCUGAUCCAGCCAUGCCGCGUGAGUGAUGAAGGCCCUAGGGUUGUAAAGCUCUUUUGUGCGGGAAGAUAAUGACGGUACCGCAAGAAUAAGCCCCGGCUAACUUCGUGCCAGCAGCCGCGGUAAUACGAAGGGGGCUAGCGUUGCUCGGAAUCACUGGGCGUAAAGGGUGCGUAGGCGGGUCUUUAAGUCAGGGGUGAAAUCCUGGAGCUCAACUCCAGAACUGCCUUUGAUACUGAAGAUCUUGAGUUCGGGAGAGGUGAGUGGAACUGCGAGUGNAGAGGUGAAAUUCGUAGAUAUUCGCAAGAACACCAGUGG
This 639-nucleotide ribosomal RNA is filed under the name Bradyrhizobiaceae bacterium D245b. RNAcentral's name for it is "bacterial SSU rRNA". It matches the Rfam family "Bacterial small subunit ribosomal RNA", at positions 32 to 715 of the family's 1533-position model. Lineage: Bacteria; Pseudomonadati; Pseudomonadota; Alphaproteobacteria; Hyphomicrobiales; Nitrobacteraceae. The record is from RNAcentral.